UAAGAAUAUAGUCCCUCCUCUAUUUGUUGAUGAAAUUCUCAACAUUUGACCUGGGUGCCACUGGUACACAGGAUCUAAGGACAUAGAUUAAGUGACAGAUGGUUCAUCUUGCUCCCAGUUACUGUGUUACUCCACCAGCAGACACUUACUGGGGGAGUAUUGGAUGCAUGGACCCAUUGUGCUGGCAGUUCAGGGGAUUUCCAUGUUUGGCGGAAGUGAAGCCAAGCAGCUAAAUCUCAUAUACAAUCACACUGCACCAACUCUACAAAUACAUAUCACACCCAACCACAUCCCAGUUAGGCGUAUUGCUUAGGGGGAGCAAGGAGGUACGAUAAUGGGGGCCAUUCUUUGAUUCGUGCACCCGGAUCCCUUGAUUCCUAGUUAUGGCCCUGCCCAACAGUACAGGAAAGAACUCAAAGGUUCAUUUAGAUAUUUAAUAAAUAAAAUGUAGACAUGUGCAAUUCGUUUCGAUCCGAAUGUUAAUUCGGCCGAAUUUCGGGAAAUUCGGACAUUUGGG
This is a non-coding RNA of Pelobates cultripes (western spadefoot toad), 517 nucleotides long. Lineage: Eukaryota; Metazoa; Chordata; Amphibia; Anura; Pelobatidae. The record is from the annotation of a GenBank genome assembly.